UACAGAGGUCUCAAGCGUUGUUCGGAUUCAUUGGGCGUAAAGGGUGCGUAGGCGGCGCGGUAAGUCGGGGUGUGAAAUCUCGGAGCUUAACUCCGAAACUGCAUUCGAUACUGCCGUGCUUGAGGACUGGAGAGGAGACUGGAAUUUACGGUGUAGCGGUGAAAUGCGUAGAUAUCGUAAGGAAGACCAGUGGCGAAGGCGGGGUCUCUGGACAGUUCCUGACGCUGAGGCACGAAGGUCAGGGGAGCAAACGGG
RNAcentral lists this ribosomal RNA (255 nucleotides) under uncultured bacterium. Its description in RNAcentral is "partial 16S ribosomal RNA". It matches the Rfam family "Bacterial small subunit ribosomal RNA", at positions 524 to 776 of the family's 1533-position model. The record is from RNAcentral.